AACGAACGCUGGCGGCGCGCCUAACACAUGCAAGUCGAACGAGAAGGCGUAGCAAUACGCUUGUAAAGUGGCGAACGGGUGAGGAAUACGUGGGUAACCUACCCUCGAGUGGGAAGUAACCAACCGAAAGGUUAGGCUAAUGCCGCGUACGCUUCCAUCUCUUCGGAGGUGGAAGGAAAGACUGUACCGUGGGUACGAGCGCUCAAGGAUGGGCGUCACGUCCUAUCAGCUUGUUGGUAGGGUAACGGCCUACCAAGGCAACGACGGGUAGCUGGUCUGAGAGGACGAUCAGCCACACUGGCACUGCGACACGGGCCAGACUCCUACGGGAGGCAGCAGUGAGGAAUAUUGCGCAAUGGGCGAAAGCCUGACGCAGCGACGCCGCGUGGGGAGUGAAGGU
RNAcentral lists this ribosomal RNA (400 nucleotides) under uncultured bacterium. Its description in RNAcentral is "bacterial SSU rRNA". It matches the Rfam family "Bacterial small subunit ribosomal RNA", at positions 29 to 415 of the family's 1533-position model. The record is from RNAcentral.